This 664-nucleotide ribosomal RNA is filed under the name Purpureocillium lilacinum. Its description in RNAcentral is "partial 18S ribosomal RNA". The stretch from base 254 to 407 matches the Rfam family "5.8S ribosomal RNA". The record is from RNAcentral. Lineage: Eukaryota; Fungi; Ascomycota; Sordariomycetes; Hypocreales; Ophiocordycipitaceae.
CUCCGGUAGUUAAAAGUCGUAACAAGGCUCUCAUUUUUGUUUACCAGCGUAGGGAUCAUUACCGAGUUCUACAACUCCCAAGCCCUCUGUGAAUCUUACCUCAGUUGCCUUGAAGCGGGAAGGCCCCGGCCGCCGGCCCCCGCGCCGGCGCCGGACAUCAGGCGCCCGCCGCAGGGACCCCAAACUCUCUUGCAUUACUCCCAGCGGGCGGAAUUUCUUCUCUGAGUUGCACAAGCAAAAACAAAUGAAUCAAAACUUUCAACAACGGAUCUCUUGGUUCUGGCAUCGAUGAAUAACGCAGCGAAAUGCUAUAAGUAAUGUGAAUUGCAUAAUUCAGUGAAUCAUCUAAUCUUUGAACGCACAUUGCGCCCGCCUGCAUUCUGGCGGGCAUGCCUGUUCGAUCGUCAUUUCAACCCUCGAGCCCCCCCGGGGGCCUCGGUGUUGGGGGACGGCACACCAGCCGCCCCCGAAAUGCAGUGGCGACCCGGUUUCCGCAGCCUCGCCCUGCGUGGUGGCAGUCGCGCGGCUCGCUCCGGAGCGAAACGGAGGCGGGAUCACGCACGUCAGUUUGCCGUAGUUCUUAUAGUGACCUCGGAUCAGGUAGCAGCCCAUUUCCCCCCGCUCACCAACAUAUUGUUACGACUUAUACUUCCCUACAAAACAU